AUUGAACGCUGGCGGCAGGCCUAACACAUGCAAGUCGAGCGGUAGCACAGGGAGCUUGCUCCUGGGUGACGAGCGGCGGACGGGUGAGUAAUGUCUGGGAAACUGCCUGAUGGAGGGGGAUAACUACUGGAAACGGUAGCUAAUACCGCAUAACGUCGCAAGACCAAAGAGGGGGACCUUCGGGCCUCUUGCCAUCAGAUGUGCCCAGAUGGGAUUAGCUAGUAGGUGGGGUAACGGCUCACCUAGGCGACGAUCCCUAGCUGGUCUGAGAGGAUGACCAGCCACACUGGAACUGAGACACGGUCCAGACUCCUACGGGAGGCAGCAGUGGGGAAUAUUGCACAAUGGGCGCAAGCCUGAUGCAGCCAUGCCGCGUGUAUGAAGAAGGCCUUCGGGUUGUAAAGUACUUUCAGCGGGAGGAAGGCGAUAAGGUUAAUAACCUUGUCGAUUGACGUUACCCGCAGAAGAAGCACCGGCUAACUCCGUGCCAGCCGCCGCCGUAA
This 503-nucleotide ribosomal RNA is filed under the name uncultured bacterium. Its description in RNAcentral is "partial 16S ribosomal RNA". It matches the Rfam family "Bacterial small subunit ribosomal RNA", at positions 30 to 523 of the family's 1533-position model. The record is from RNAcentral.